AGUCCACGCCGUAAACGAUGUCGACUUGGAGGUUGUUCCCUUGAGGAGUGGCUUCCGGAGCUAACGCGUUAAGUCGACCGCCUGGGGAGUACGGCCGCAAGGUUAAAACUCAAAUGAAUUGACGGGGGCCCGCACAAGCGGUGGAGCAUGUGGUUUAAUUCGAUGCAACGCGAAGAACCUUACCUACUCUUGACAUCCACGGAAUUUGGCAGAGAUGCCUUAGUGCCUUCGGGAACCGUGAGACAGGUGCUGCAUGGCUGUCGUCAGCUCGUGUUGUGAAAUGUUGGGUUAAGUCCCGCAACGAGCGCAACCCUUAUCCUUUGUUGCCAGCGAUUCGGUCGGGAACUCAAAGGAGACUGCCGGUGAUAAACCGGAGGAAGGUGGGGAUGACGUCAAGUCAUCAUGGCCCUUACGAGUAGGGCUACACACGUGCUACAAUGGCGCAUACAAAGAGAAGCGACCUCGCGAGAGCAAGCGGACCUCACAAAGUGCGUCGUAGUCCGGAUCGGAGUCUGCAACUCGACUCCGUGAAGUCGGAAUCGCUAGUAAUCGUGGAUCAGAAUGCCACGGUGAAUACGUUCCCGGGCCUUGUACACACCGCCCGUCACACCAUGGGAGUGGGUUGCAAAAGAAGUAGGU
Molecule: ribosomal RNA, 639 nt
Filed under: Pantoea agglomerans
Lineage: Bacteria; Pseudomonadati; Pseudomonadota; Gammaproteobacteria; Enterobacterales; Erwiniaceae
Description: bacterial SSU rRNA
Rfam family: Bacterial small subunit ribosomal RNA
Source: RNAcentral